AACGAACGCUGGCGGCAUGCCUAACACAUGCAAGUCGAACGAGACCUUCGGGUCUAGUGGCGCACGGGUGCGUAACGCGUGGGAAUCUGCCCUUGGGUUCGGAAUAACUCGCCGAAAGGCGUGCUAAUACCGGAUGAUGUCGUAAGACCAAAGAUUUAUCGCCCAGGGAUGAGCCCGCGUAAGAUUAGGUAGUUGGUGAGGUAAAGGCUCACCAAGCCGACGAUCUUUAGCUGGUCUGAGAGGAUGAUCAGCCACACUGGGACUGAGACACGGCCCAGACUCCUACGGGAGGCAGCAGUGGGGAAUAUUGGACAAUGGGCGAAAGCCUGAUCCAGCAAUGCCGCGUGAGUGAUGAAGGCCUUAGGGUUGUAAAGCUCUUUUACCCGGGAUGAUAAUGACAGUACCGGGAGAAUAAGCUCCGGCUAACUCCGUGCCAGCCGCCGCAGUAA
This 449-nucleotide ribosomal RNA is filed under the name uncultured bacterium. RNAcentral describes it as "partial 16S ribosomal RNA". It matches the Rfam family "Bacterial small subunit ribosomal RNA", at positions 29 to 523 of the family's 1533-position model. The record is from RNAcentral.